AGCUUAUCCUUUGCUUGAUGAUUCGA
Molecule: non-coding RNA, 26 nt
Filed under: Drosophila erecta
Lineage: Eukaryota; Metazoa; Arthropoda; Insecta; Diptera; Drosophilidae
Also listed under: 6 other names
Source: RNAcentral